CAGCCGCCGCGGUAAUACAGAGGGUGCAAGCGUUAAUCGGAAUUACUGGGCGUAAAGCGCGCGUAGGUGGUUUGUUAAGUUGGAUGUGAAAUCCCCGGGCUCAACCUGGGAACUGCAUCCAAAACUGGCAAGCUAGAGUAUGGUAGAGGGUGGUGGAAUUUUCUGUGUAGCGGUGAAAUGCGUAGAUAUAGGAAGGAACACCAGUGGCGAAGGCGACCACCUGGACUGAUACUGACACUGAGGUGCGAAAGCGUGGGGAGCAAACAGGAUUAGAUACCCCUGUAGUCCCUGUCUCUUAUAC
RNAcentral lists this ribosomal RNA (301 nucleotides) under uncultured bacterium. RNAcentral describes it as "partial 16S ribosomal RNA". It matches the Rfam family "Bacterial small subunit ribosomal RNA", at positions 509 to 807 of the family's 1533-position model. The record is from RNAcentral.